RNAcentral lists this long non-coding RNA (216 nucleotides) under Gossypium barbadense (sea-island cotton). Its description in RNAcentral is "long non-coding RNA (GBAR_LNC001599)". The record is from RNAcentral. Lineage: Eukaryota; Viridiplantae; Streptophyta; Magnoliopsida; Malvales; Malvaceae.
ACCUCAAUUCCUUCCCCACGCAUGUAGCAAAAAUCUGAACCUUGCGUGCACGAACCCCAGACCUCCGUCCGCCUUGCGCCACGCCCGUGCUACUGGCCACUGUACCAUGCUUCCUUCACUACUAAUAUAUGGUCACAAUUAAUUAUAAACCUUACCUGCUUCAGUUCUGGCCCACUUUAAAAAUUAAACAAAAUUCGCCCACGUACGGACUCGAAC